GGUUGGUCUGAGUGCAGUUGUGUUUACAACUAAUUUUUGUGUAAACACACAACAUACAACCAGUGUUUACAUCCAGUUACAGAUUCCUUUGUUCCUUCUUCACUUCCACUGCUUCACUCAACCAGCCUUAA
This is an unclassified non-coding RNA of Microcebus murinus (gray mouse lemur), 131 nucleotides long. It matches the Rfam family "Y RNA". From Rfam's summary of the family: Y RNAs are components of the Ro ribonucleoprotein particle (Ro RNP), in association with Ro60 and La proteins. The Y RNAs and Ro60 and La proteins are well conserved, but the function of the Ro RNP is not known. In humans the RNA component can be one of four small RNAs -- hY1, hY3, hY4 and hY5. Lineage: Eukaryota; Metazoa; Chordata; Mammalia; Primates; Cheirogaleidae. The record is from Ensembl.